GAGAUUUUCGCAAUGCCCGAAAGGGUGACGAAGCGACGCCGCGUGCGGGAAGAAGGCCUUCGGGUUGUAAACCGCUGUCGGGAGUUAAGAAAUGUAAGGAUGUUAAUAGCAUCUUUGCUUGACUAAGGUUCCGGAGGAAGCCACGGCUAACUCUGUGCCAGCAGCCGCGGUAAUACAGAGGCGGCAAGCGUUGUUCGGAAUUAUUGGGCGUAAAGAGCACGUAGGCGGCUAUGUAAGUCGGUUGUGAAAGCCUUCCGCUCAACGGGAGAACAGCAUCCGAUACUGCAUGGCUUGAGUGCGGGAGGGGAGAGUGGAACUUCUGGUGGAGCGGUGAAAUGCGUAGAUAUCAGAAGGAACGCCGGCGGCGAAAGCGGCUCUCUGGCCCAUAACUGACGCUGAGUGUGCGAAAGCUAGGGGAGCAAACGGGAUUAGAUACCCCGGUAGUCCUAGCCGUAAACGAUGGGCACUAAGUAGAGGGGUUUUA
This 484-nucleotide ribosomal RNA is filed under the name uncultured bacterium. RNAcentral's name for it is "bacterial SSU rRNA". It matches the Rfam family "Bacterial small subunit ribosomal RNA", at positions 359 to 833 of the family's 1533-position model. The record is from RNAcentral.